RNAcentral lists this ribosomal RNA (305 nucleotides) under uncultured bacterium. RNAcentral describes it as "partial 16S ribosomal RNA". It matches the Rfam family "Bacterial small subunit ribosomal RNA", at positions 333 to 640 of the family's 1533-position model. The record is from RNAcentral.
UUAUGCCUACGGGACGCAGCAGUGGGGAAUAUUGCACAAUGGGGGAAACCCUGAUGCAGCGACGCCGCGUGAGUGAAGAAGUAUCUCGGUACGUAAAGCUCUAUCAGCAGGGAAGAAAAAAAGUCUUUGGCUUUGGACGGUACCUGACUAAGAAGCCCCGGCUAACUACGUGCCAGCAGCCGCGGUAAUACGAAGGGGGCAAGCGUUAUCCGGAUUUACUGGGGGUAAAGGGAGCGUAGACGGCAGCGCAAGUCUGGAGUGAAAUGCGGGGGCGCAACCCGGGAACUGCUUUGGAAACUGUGCAG